This 255-nucleotide ribosomal RNA is filed under the name Escherichia coli. Its description in RNAcentral is "partial 23S ribosomal RNA". It matches the Rfam family "Bacterial large subunit ribosomal RNA", at positions 1448 to 1705 of the family's 2925-position model. The record is from RNAcentral. Lineage: Bacteria; Pseudomonadati; Pseudomonadota; Gammaproteobacteria; Enterobacterales; Enterobacteriaceae.
GUGUUACUGCGAAGGGGGGACGGAGAAGGCUAUGUUGGCCGGGCGACGGUUGUCCCGGUUUAAGCGUGUAGGCUGGUUUUCCAGGCAAAUCCGGAAAAUCAAGGCUGAGGCGUGAUGACGAGGCACUGCGGUGCUGAAGCAACAAAUGCCCUGCUUCCAGGAAAAGCCUCUAAGCAUCAGGUAACAUCAAAUCGUACCCCAAACCGACACAGGUGGUCAGGUAGAGAAUACCAAGGCGCUUGAGAGAACUCGGGU